GUGCUCGCUUCGGCAGCACAUAUACUAAAAUUGGAUCGAUACAGAGAAGAUUAGCAUGGCCCCUGCGAAAGGAUGACACGCGCUCCAUAUUUUC
Molecule: small nuclear RNA, 94 nt
Organism: Esox lucius (northern pike)
Lineage: Eukaryota; Metazoa; Chordata; Actinopteri; Esociformes; Esocidae
Source: Ensembl